This 269-nucleotide ribosomal RNA is filed under the name uncultured archaeon. Its description in RNAcentral is "partial 16S ribosomal RNA". It matches the Rfam family "Archaeal small subunit ribosomal RNA", at positions 477 to 747 of the family's 1478-position model. The record is from RNAcentral.
CAGCACCUCAAGUGGUCAGGAUGAUUAUUGGGCCUAAAGCAUCCGUAGCCGGCGCUGUAAGUUUCGGUUAAAUCUGUACGCUCAACGUACAGGCUGCCGGGAAUACUGCAGCGCUAGGGAGUGGGAGAGGUAGACGGUACUCGGUAGGAAGGGGUAAAAUCCUUUGAUCUAUUGAUGACCACCUGUGGCGAAGGCGGUCUACCAGAACACGUCCGACGGUGAGGGAUGAAAGCUGGGGGAGCAAACCGGAUUAGAUACCCGAGUAGUCC